GAUAAAGGAGGUGGGAAUGCAGAGACAACCAGGAGGUUUGCCUAGAAGCAGCCAUCCUUAAAAGAGUGCGUAAUAGCUCACUGGUCAAGCGUUCCUGCGCCGAAAAUGAACGGGGCUAAGGUGUUUACCGAAGCUAUGGACUUGCAUUUAUGUGAGUGGUAGGGGAGCGUUCUGUUGUAGUGAGAAGCAUCAGCGGCAAGCAGGUGUGGACGAAGCAGAAGUGAGAAUGUCGGCUUGAGUAGCGCAAACAUUGGUGAGAAUCCAAUGCCCUGAAAUCCUAAGGGUUCCUCCGGAAGGCUCGUCCGCGGAGGGUGAGUCGGGGCCUAAGGCGAGGUCGAAAGACGUAGUCGAUGGACAACUGGUGAAGAUUCCAGUACUCAAUUUGGAUUGUGACGGGGGACGGAGAAGGCUAACACAGCCCCAUGUUGGUUAGGGGUUCAAGCAUUCGAGGUGAUGAGAGUCGGCGGAAACGACUUGAGCUGAGGUGUGAGUACGAGAGUCUACGGACUCGAAGUGUGUGAUGUCAGGCUUCCAAGAAAAUCCCGGAUCACGAUAAUUCAAAUUACCCGUACCCGAAACCGACACAGGUAGGAUGGUUGAGAAAACUAAAGGGCGCGAGAUAACUCUCUCUAAGGAACUCGG
This 642-nucleotide ribosomal RNA is filed under the name Leptolyngbya boryana AV12. Its description in RNAcentral is "bacterial LSU rRNA". It matches the Rfam family "Bacterial large subunit ribosomal RNA", at positions 1065 to 1717 of the family's 2925-position model. Lineage: Bacteria; Bacillati; Cyanobacteriota; Cyanophyceae; Leptolyngbyales; Leptolyngbyaceae. The record is from RNAcentral.